This 7287-nucleotide long non-coding RNA is filed under the name Panax ginseng (ginseng). RNAcentral's name for it is "long non-coding RNA (PGIN_LNC004934)". The record is from RNAcentral. Lineage: Eukaryota; Viridiplantae; Streptophyta; Magnoliopsida; Apiales; Araliaceae.
UAAUUUAGAUACAUACAAUAAACAGGAUUGUACAGACUGUAUAAAAAUUUCAGUUAAAAUAAAUACUAUACAUUUUUUAAGAGGUACUUAAAAAAAUAAAAAAUAAAAAAAUAAAAAAUGUCACUAAAAAAUAUCCCCCCUACUUAUUGAAACUAAUUUAACCACCGACUAAGCUUAGAAUUUGUACUACAACAAAACAAAUAAUUGUAAACACCUAACUUAAGAUUCCAAAUAUAUAUAUAUAUAUAACAAAAAUAUCAACACAAAAUUAAUUCAUAAGCUCAAAUAAUAAUAUAUUUAUCACAUUUCUUAACUUCAAAGAUAAAUUAUGUAAAAUUAACAGUAAAUUAUUAGAGUGAUGGAAAGGGAAUCCGUAUUAGAAAUAAUGUAUAGUACAUAUAUAGAUUGUAGAUACAUAUAACAAAUAAUUAAGUAUCCAAAAAAAUUGUUCAUGAUUACCAAGUAAUUCAAAAAGGUUAUACGCAAAAAUUAUUCAAAAGUUCUCCAAUUACGUUUUAUAAAAAUAUAAAAUUGUAUUUUACAAGAAUUGUGAGGGAUAAAAUUAAAUAGAAAAUACAUCUACUCAGACAAUUAAAUCAAUUAUCAAAUGGGGUUUUCAACGGUUUUCAACCAAGUAUUUAGAACUUCUAUUACAUAUUCAGGGCUAUUUCAAAUAUGAUUCAUUCAGUUUUUUUAAUCAAAUAAUCCCUAGGUAUAUUAAUUAAUGGGACAACUUAACAUUCUUUAUUUAUCAUUGGCCUCCUCCUUUAUGUUAAAGGAAUCUCUAGUUAAUGCAAAAAAUAUACUUCUUCCCUUUCGAAUUAUAAAAUUAUUAUUAAUUUUUUAAAAUUAAUUUAUAAUAUUUUUUAAUUUAAAAUUGACAUAAUUUUUUUUAAAAUUUUAAAAUAAUUAAUUUAUAGCUAAUAAUAUUUUUUAGAUAAUUUAUAAUAUUUAUAAUUGUAUUUAUAUAAACUAAACGAAUUCAUCUCAAUUUUGAGUUUGAAAAUAUUUAAAAUAAAUUUUUUACAAGUCAAUUUGGAAUGGGGGAAGUAUGCUAAUAAGUUCUAAAAAUUGUAUAUAUUUCUAAUUUUAUGGUAUAAAUUGACUUGAAAAUUGUAACAUACCAUAAUUUAUAUUUACUUCAGCACUAUAUUAUUGUAUUUUUAACAAAUGUUAUAUAAAUAUAUUUGAAAAAAAGAGAGUUUCUUAUUAGAAAUGGCUCUUCUGACGGAGAAAACUAGCUACCAUAAUUACGGGAUGAGUGGUCUUUAAUUAACUAUCUAACUGAACCAAGGCAAAAUUUUCUUAGAAUUAUUAAGAAACUAAUUAAUUAAUCAGAUAGACAGAGCGAAAUAAAUAAAUAAAUAAAAUUGUGUGAUCAUAGUACGUAGUUACGUGAGUUUGAAGAACAAGUUUUAUUAGUGGCAUAAUUGAGGGAUCCGUGAUGGAAUAGAAAGUCCAAAUUAAUUAAUUAGGAAUCAUUAAGCAAUUAAUUAAUAAUAUCACCACAUUACCAACGAGAAGCUAUAUAUAUAUAUAUAUAUAUAUAUAUAAUACUACUAUUGAUCAUGGGAUCCCAUGCAUCUCAUCUUUGUACGAGAGGAAAAUAAUAUAUAGAUAGACAGACAGAUAGAUAGAUAGAUAGAUAAAAAGGUCAGAGUGAAGAAUUAGCUAGGAGCUAGGAGGAGCAACAUUAAUUUGGAAGUUGAGAAGGAGAAAUGGCCAAGAGGAUUAGUAUGGCCAGCAUCACAAGUGGAACAAAGAGUAGCGUUGACGGCGGCGGAUGAAGCGGCGGCAACAGCAGCGGCAGCAGCAAGAGCGCCGCCGUAAAGACCACCGUACUGAUGAUUAAAGCUCUCAAACUAAAACACUUGUGCAUCAAAGCACUACUCGUCUUCAACUGCCUCUUAUCAUCCAAUGACACUACACGUCGACUAUGAUCCAAACCAUACACCAUCAUCUUAAUCCAAUCGAUCUCUUCUUGUUUGUCAGCUAGAUAUAUAUAUAUAGAUGCGAAUUAAUUUCUGUAUUUGUUGAUACUAUAUAUAUAUAUAUAUAUAGAGAGAGAGAGAGCAGAGAGAGAGAGUGUUGUGUAGGUCGUCAUUUUGACAAGUGAGUUGAACAAACCAUACAAACCUAUUUUCGAAUUCUAGGUUGGAUUCGUAGCACCAAGGCCCCGUUCGCCCUCAUCAUAUCGACUUAGACACGUAACUCUCUUUCCCUUUCACUUCUCUCCCACACUACGCAAGUGUCCAUUCAUCAAUAUAAUAAUAGUUAUUGUAUUACUAAAGUUUUUAAUCAAAUUAUAAUCGUGUACAUAAAAUAAAUAUGCAUUAAAACUAAUUUUAUCAUAAUUUAUUUUAUCUUAUUACAUAAAUUUUAUAUAUGUAUUAUAAUUUAACUUCGUCAUGUAUCACAUAUUUAUUAAUGUGUAUCAUUUUCCAUUAUAUAUAUAUGUACAUGCUUAAUGAUGUGUCAAAAAAAUUUCUACAAAUUGUAAAGGAAUACUUACCGCACUUAUUGUAAAGGAAAUUCAAGUGUCUCUAAUUAAAAAAUGCUUUAAAAAAGUUAUUACAAAAUGUCCGGAUAAUUAGACAAAAUUUGUUUAUAUUUGUGUAAAUAAGAAUAUGAGACCCCUUACGUGUUAACUCGAUAUCACACUCUCCUCACUUGAUUAUACAAUUAAACUAUCUAUCUUAAAAUUAAUUGAGUAUAAGAAGAAUUGACCUGACACGCUAUAUACUAGACAAACUUUCUAAAAUAUUUAAUGUGGAAUAAGUUAGUGCAUAUAUUAUAAUAAAUAAUAUUGCACAUUACGUAUAUUAUACUAAUAAAUAAAUAUAAAUUUCCAAUAGUUAGAAAUAUUUUAAUGCUAAUAGGAUAAGACAAAUUCAGGAUGUUUACCCUAACCACUGUUAUGCACGUACGACUGAUAGCACCAACAACCAAGAAAAUGAAAUCCAACUUUAUUUUGUGCGUGGUUCAAUACCCCAAAAAAGGGAGCCAUAUAUAUUUGGUGGUGAAAGAUAUAGAUUUUGGAUUCUUUCCACGUUACGAUCUGAGUUACUUACAGCAUUAAUUAGGUUCAAGUGAUGUGGUCCUAGUUUAGCUUAAUUUAUGAACAUCAUCAAUAUUUAAUUUUAAUUCUUUGUCAUGUAUUGGGGAAAUUUUUUUGAAAAUCGAUUUUACCUAGUCUUAAUUUUGUGUACAAGUUGAAACACUAGAAAUGAUGGGAUAAUUUGGAUUUGAAGGUUGGAUUCCUACUGAAAAAGGAGGUUGUAAUGUUCCAUUUUACCCUUCAUAUAAUGAAAUAUUAUAAUUAAGCAUCCUCUAACCCUAAAAAUUGAAAUUAUGAAACAACAAGAUAUGAUGAUGGGGCUAUUAUUAAGUCUUUCAACGGUCAAGUCUAAAAAGAUGGUACAAACGGUUAAAAAAUUAUAUUGGAACGUUGUUAUUCUAUUCAAUAAAAUAAAAUAAAUUAAUCAUUAUAUUAAGUACUUAAAUAUGAAUUGGGAGAAAACGUCUUAUAUGUAUUAAGUUUUUGUUGCGUUUAAGAGUAAAAAAUUCAUUUGUCUUUUUCAAUCUUAAAAUGAAUAUAUAGAUGUGUAUAAAACUUUUUGAGACAACAAUUAAGACAAAACCCUAAUUGUUUUACUUAUAAAAUAGCUAGAUAAGGGCAGAGGCGGAACCCGGGGGUCCGGGGGAUCAUAUGACCCCCCCAACCUAGAAUUUCUCCAGGGGUUAUUUGCUUUCAUUUCCCUUCUUUUUUCUUUUAUGUAUUUUCUUUUCUUCUUUGCUUUUCUCUCGCUUUUGAUUUAUCAUCAAAAUGAGACAAAAAAAGGUGAUAGCAAUUCUCUCUGUAAACUAAUUAAAAAUAAAAGACUAAAGAAAUAAAAUAAUUUUUUUUAAAUCCCACUAUAGUAACUAUAAGUUCACCAUAAUUCUAUCCUAUCAAACGACUUGAAUAAGAAUAUCCUUGUUUAAAUGCAUGCUAGUUACAACUCAAAAGUCAAAUUAAAGAAGGCAAUGAUGAAAACAAUGCUUUAAUGUUUGACAGGGGCAGCCUGGAGAAAUUCUAUAGUCAGCCAAAUGAUUUAGUGCCCUGCAAUGUUUGGAACCUAUUUAAGGUACUUGUUUCUUUUGGUUGUGCAUAUAACCUGUAAAAGAUUGGGACAGCCUGGAGAAAUUCUAAUCUAUUUGUUUCAAACAGGAUAACGAAUUCCUUCGUACGUGAUACCAACCAACCAAAAUAUUAAAUCAAAUGCAACUGAUCAUGGUACUCCAUGCUUGAUUUUGAAAUCAAAAUAUGAAAAAUUGCUAAAUCAUUUACAUUAAUUAAUUAUCUGAGCAUAGACAGGAUACUUGAACUUGGAUCAUUUUCCUAUUGAAAUCACAGGAAAAAUUAGAACCAUUAUUGAUGCAAUUUUUCUAGGGAAGAAUAUCAACAAGGAAGUCGUACUUAAAUAUUUGCAUACACUUGUGCUCAGCUUGUCGUUAUACCCUCCAUAUAUAUGUUAUCUCUAGCUAGACACGUACGUAAUUUUCUGAUCAACAAUGUUAUCUCUAGCUAGAAAGGCCCAAUUUUAUGCACAUUCAUCGUAGUUCUAUUGCUAUAUAAAUGGAUUGUUUAAGAUGCAUAAGUACUAUUACUCAUGAAUCGGUCACUAACUUGAGACAUCCCAAAAUAUUCAUGCUUUUUGGUAUUUCAAUGCAACGAUAAUUGGAGUGGACUGCAUUAUCUUUCUAAAGAAAAAGUUUGUUGAACCCCACCAUCAGUUGCAUUUGAUUUAAUUGCAAAAUUGAAAUGAUCAGUGGUAUUAGGAUAAUAACAUUAAAAUAUUCAUGCUAUUUUGUAUUCUUAAUUCUUGACUAAAACAGAAAUAAAAUAUCAAGAAUCAUAAUUAUUAUGCAAGUGAACAGAAAAAAUGGCGAGGACAAUAUAUAUUCUACAUAUGUUAUCGACAUAUCCAUAUUUCAAUGAGACAGUUUAGUAAUGAAGCCGUGUAUGAAUAUUAGAAAACUGAAAUCUAUACUACACUCUGGCUGAAAUGGGGGAGAAUUAACAAGUUUAUGUCAAGUACCCCCAAACUAUAUGAUUCAUUUAAUAGAAUAAAUUAAAUUAAUUAUUAUAUUAGGUAUUUACAUGAAUUGAGAGAAGACAUCUUAUAGGUAUCACGUUUUCACUGCGCUUAAGGGUGAGAGUGUUCAAUUGUCUCUCUGAAUUUUUGAGAUGACAAUUAGAAUCAAACCCUAAUUAUUUUAUUUAUAAAAUAACUAAGAGUAAAAAUUGUCCAUUCUAGAGUCCAUUAAACUAAAUACUAUCAAUAAUAUUAUUUAUAGACCACAUAAUUAUUAAAUUGAUAAAUAAAAUGAUUAAAUUAAUGUUAAAUAAUUUUAUAAAUAGUAGAGUUGGCGAUGACGAGUUAUUCGAACUAUGCUCAUCCGAGACAAGCUUGUUUAGGCAAUUCAUUUUCCUUUUCUGAAAAAACAUGGUCAAGUGUGAAAGACUUUGACUGAUUUUAAGGAUGGAAUUAAAGCAAGAAGACGAGGCUAGCUUAGCCAAUGACAUUAUGAAUAUAAAUGAUGCGUUGCGACGAGCAAAUUAAAAAGAUUGGAAUCGUAAUUAGUGAAUAGAUGAUGAUCACCUUAGACCUUAUUCUUUGACUUUGUACGACAAAAGCAUGUACUACUGCUUGAUUGAUUACUUUAAUUUUCCAAGUUGUGUGUAAAAGUAAAACCCACUCGACACUCAAAAAACUAUAUAUCGGAUUCCGACCUAUCUAACCAUUUGGCAAUUUCUGACCACAAGCUUUAUAUAUAUAUAUAUAUGUGCCAUAAAAUUAAUUAAUUCCUACAAAAAAUUCAAAUGUUGCUAAAUCAUUACACGGGAUUAUGCAUUGAACAAUAUGGUGAAAAGGGUAGAGAUAAUUGUCACUUGUUUAUUAUAUACAUGCAAUAAUUGUUUUUCCUUUUGGGAACAGUAGAGAAAAAUUCAAUACAUACCCAUUUCAUCAUAUCAACUAAUCAAUCCUAUAAUCGACUAACAAUUCACAAAAUAUCAACAACUAAACUAACCCGACAAAAAAUCAAAUCAAAUCUUUCAACCUCUCUCCACCUUUUUCCCAAACCAGCCAAUUAAUACAAAAAUGUCAAAAAUCAACCGAAUCCCCAAAAGCCAAAGUACAAAAAAAAAAUCUCUUAAGCACCUACUACCUAAUCUACUUGGAUUUUAAUGGGUGAAAUCAACAUUUUAAACAAGGCUUUCUUAAUUUAAGGUAUUAAAUUAUUUUAAUUUUUAUAAUUAAAAAUAAAAUUAAUUAUUCCUAAAUUAACAAAAAAUCAAUUAAAAAUAAAAUAAAAUUUUAUUCUUUUUCUUAUAUCCCUAAAUUUAGUUGUCAUCAUCAAAAUUACAUAAAAAGUGGAGACCUAAUUAACAGAAAACAUCAAUAGUAUGCAUAUUUAGGCUAAAUUAAAAUUAAUAGUACCAAAUUUGAAAGACAUUUAGGCUAAAUUAAAAUUAAAAAUUAGUUAAAUUACUUACCAAAGAGAAAAGCAAAGUAGCAGACAAGCAGGCAAGCAGCAGUGGUUAAGUGGCGGACGGCGGCGUGCGGCGGCCGGCGGCGGCAGCAGUGACGGGCGGCCGGACGCAAUGGAGCUGUCAGCUGUGGAGCUUGGAGGCGACUCAGGCGAGGUAAACUGGCAAAGAAAUGAAGAGAGGCGAGGUAUUUGUGUUAAGAAAUAAGAAAGAGUCCCAGCCAUAAUAAAAAAAAAUUAAAAUUUUUAAAUGAAACGACGUCGUUUUAGUUUGAAAAAAAAAAAGAAGAAAAAAAGAAAAGAAGAAGAAGAACUCCGCUGCUCGCCCCUAGCUCUGUCUGUCGCCGGCGCCACCCUACCGGGGGCAACUGCCCCCCGCCUGCCUUUCCGCCCGCCCGCCUACCUAGUUCCGCCACUGUCUCUGCAUAUUCAAUGGUUGAAAAAUGAUAAGAAAAAUAAAUAAACUUCAAAGUUUCACUCAUGAUAAAUAAAUGAAUCAGAAAUAACAUAAUUAAAAAAAUUCUAUUAUUUGUGGCCUACAUGCAUUAUUUUUUUACGAGCCCAAACAUAUAACUGUACUACGUCAAUUGAAUCAGACACCAUGAUUGAUUUCUUUAUUGGAAAGCAACGACGCAACUUAAUCUAUAUAAAAUAGAUUACAACUUUCUCUCUCUCUCUCUCUAUAUAUAUAUAUCAAUAUGCUAGGUUCAUUGCACAUCUCUCUCUCUCUCUCUCUCUCUCUCUCUCUCUCUC